CUGCUAUCCUUGGGAUUGUGUGCUAUCAAACCUGAGGUUAUCUUCAAAUUGGAGCAAAGAGCAGAGCCAUGGAUCCUAGAAGAAACUCUAAUCCAGAGCCUUCCAGUUGCCAGGAAAAUGGAUGACCUGAGUAGGGCCAGCCACGAAAAUCAAGACAUAAAUUUGAGGCAAGUAGUAAUAAUUACAACACAUCAUCUCAUGAGAAUUGAAUAAUGAAAAGGAUGUAGUUUCAAGUGAUGCUAUAUUUUACAGCUGAUUAUGAAGAAAGGAGAUUAUUCAAGAAUGGAAUCUGAGGCAUGUAAUGUGUCCUUAUAGGAAGCCUGAUGAGAGGCAAGCUAGA
This 340-nucleotide long non-coding RNA is filed under the name Oryctolagus cuniculus (rabbit). Its description in RNAcentral is "lncRNA (ENSOCUG00000036843.1)". The record is from RNAcentral. Lineage: Eukaryota; Metazoa; Chordata; Mammalia; Lagomorpha; Leporidae.